Molecule: long non-coding RNA, 535 nt
Organism: Colossoma macropomum (tambaqui)
Lineage: Eukaryota; Metazoa; Chordata; Actinopteri; Characiformes; Serrasalmidae
Exons: 4
Source: RefSeq, a predicted model, not a curated record
CUCGUUUAUUGGAAAGUACCUCUGACUGAGUUGAAUGAAGUAACAAUACUAUUACUUGAUUUUAGAGGAUUUAGGCUGCUCUGUUCACGUCUCCACCUCUGAUUACAUGAAAGUUUAAAGUUUUGCGGUUGAAAUAUCUUCCACUACAGAGCCUAACAAGAUUACUGCGCCUCCACUGUCUGUCUGGGUGCUACAGACUCAGCUUCAACAGCGCUAGCUACAAUGGUCCCUCCUGUCCAGGUUUCGCCGCUUAUCAAGACUGCAAGAUGGUCUGCCUUGCUGGUGGGAAUCAUCUAUGGAAAGCAGAGAUAUGAUUACCUGAAACCCAUUGCUGCCGAGGAGAGGCGUGUUGAAGAGGCAGAGAAGAAACUGAGGGAGGAGCAAGAGAGAAUCUACAAACAGCUGGCUGAAGCCGACUCUGACAGCAUUCUGAAAUGAAUCAUGACUUCAGUCUCCUCAGUCAUGUCCUGCACUACAAAGUGAAGUAUAAGAGUAAUUAUAUUACCUCUAUUUUUCAAUAAAAGCAUCAAAAGUA